AUACGUAGGGGGCGAGCGUUGUCCGGAAUGAUUGGGCGUAAAGGGCGCGUAGGCGGCCCGGUAAGUCUGGAGUGAAAGUCCUGUUUUUAAGAUGGGAAUUGCUUUGGAUACUGUCGGGCUUGAGUGCAGGAGAGGUAAGUGGAAUUCCCAGUGUAGCGGUGAAAUGCGUAGAGAUUGGUAGGAACACCAGUGGCGAAGGCGGCUUACGGGACUGUAACGGACGCUGAGGCGCGAAAGUGUGGGGAGCAAACAGGAUUAGAUACCCUGGUAGUCCACCCUGUAAACGAUGAAUACUAGGUGUGCGGGGACUGACCCCCUGCGUGCCGGCGUUAACGCAAUAAGUAUUCCACCUGGGGAGUACGAUCGCAAGGUUGAAACUCAAAGGAAUUGACGGGG
This 396-nucleotide ribosomal RNA is filed under the name uncultured bacterium. Its description in RNAcentral is "partial 16S ribosomal RNA". It matches the Rfam family "Bacterial small subunit ribosomal RNA", at positions 523 to 918 of the family's 1533-position model. The record is from RNAcentral.